UCUCUUGGAGCUCUAGCUCACCUCUCUGGUGUUGUUCUUGUAUUCAUCUGAUUAAUCUAGUUCUUGCUAGUUCUUCUUGAACUUCUUGGUAGAUAUUAAGUCUAUAUUCUGUGUCCGUGACAAUAUCUUAGAUUCAAGGUAAUAGUAAAAUAUGUUGGAAUAUCUUAUAUGUUGGCACAAUUAUGAUAUUAGUGAAUUGAUGUGAGAGCCAUCUAAGAAGCUUGCAAAUGUAAUAAAGAAGAUUGAUGCUUUUUAUUAACAACUUCC
RNAcentral lists this long non-coding RNA (267 nucleotides) under Physcomitrium patens. RNAcentral describes it as "long non-coding RNA (PPAT_LNC003851)". Lineage: Eukaryota; Viridiplantae; Streptophyta; Bryopsida; Funariales; Funariaceae. The record is from RNAcentral.